RNAcentral lists this ribosomal RNA (2920 nucleotides) under Staphylococcus aureus. RNAcentral describes it as "23S ribosomal RNA". It matches the Rfam family "Bacterial large subunit ribosomal RNA". The record is from RNAcentral. Lineage: Bacteria; Bacillati; Bacillota; Bacilli; Caryophanales; Staphylococcaceae.
UUAAGUUAUUAAGGGCGCACGGUGGAUGCCUUGGCACUAGAAGCCGAUGAAGGACGUUACUAACGACGAUAUGCUUUGGGGAGCUGUAAGUAAGCUUUGAUCCAGAGAUUUCCGAAUGGGGAAACCCAGCAUGAGUUAUGUCAUGUUAUCGAUAUGUGAAUACAUAGCAUAUCAGAAGGCACACCCGGAGAACUGAAACAUCUUAGUACCCGGAGGAAGAGAAAGAAAAUUCGAUUCCCUUAGUAGCGGCGAGCGAAACGGGAAGAGCCCAAACCAACAAGCUUGCUUGUUGGGGUUGUAGGACACUCUAUACGGAGUUACAAAGGACGACAUUAGACGAAUCAUCUGGAAAGAUGAAUCAAAGAAGGUAAUAAUCCUGUAGUCGAAAAUGUUGUCUCUCUUGAGUGGAUCCUGAGUACGACGGAGCACGUGAAAUUCCGUCGGAAUCUGGGAGGACCAUCUCCUAAGGCUAAAUACUCUCUAGUGACCGAUAGUGAACCAGUACCGUGAGGGAAAGGUGAAAAGCACCCCGGAAGGGGAGUGAAAUAGAACCUGAAACCGUGUGCUUACAAGUAGUCAGAGCCCGUUAAUGGGUGAUGGCGUGCCUUUUGUAGAAUGAACCGGCGAGUUACGAUUUGAUGCAAGGUUAAGCAGUAAAUGUGGAGCCGUAGCGAAAGCGAGUCUGAAUAGGGCGUUUAGUAUUUGGUCGUAGACCCGAAACCAGGUGAUCUACCCUUGGUCAGGUUGAAGUUCAGGUAACACUGAAUGGAGGACCGAACCGACUUACGUUGAAAAGUGAGCGGAUGAACUGAGGGUAGCGGAGAAAUUCCAAUCGAACCUGGAGAUAGCUGGUUCUCUCCGAAAUAGCUUUAGGGCUAGCCUCAAGUGAUGAUUAUUGGAGGUAGAGCACUGUUUGGACGAGGGGCUCCUCUCGGGUUACCGAAUUCAGACAAACUCCGAAUGCCAAUUAAUUUAACUUGGGAGUCAGAACAUGGGUGAUAAGGUCCGUGUUCGAAAGGGAAACAGCCCAGACCACCAGCUAAGGUCCCAAAAUAUAUGUUAAGUGGAAAAGGAUGUGGCGUUGCCCAGACAACUAGGAUGUUGGCUUAGAAGCAGCCAUCAUUUAAAGAGUGCGUAAUAGCUCACUAGUCGAGUGACACUGCGCCGAAAAUGUACCGGGGCUAAACAUAUUACCGAAGCUGUGGAUUGUCCUUUGGACAAUGGUAGGAGAGCGUUCUAAGGGCGUUGAAGCAUGAUCGUAAGGACAUGUGGAGCGCUUAGAAGUGAGAAUGCCGGUGUGAGUAGCGAAAGACGGGUGAGAAUCCCGUCCACCGAUUGACUAAGGUUUCCAGAGGAAGGCUCGUCCGCUCUGGGUUAGUCGGGUCCUAAGCUGAGGCCGACAGGCGUAGGCGAUGGAUAACAGGUUGAUAUUCCUGUACCACCUAUAAUCGUUUUAAUCGAUGGGGGGACGCAGUAGGAUAGGCGAAGCGUGCGAUUGGAUUGCACGUCUAAGCAGUAAGGCUGAGUAUUAGGCAAAUCCGGUACUCGUUAAGGCUGAGCUGUGAUGGGGAGAAGACAUUGUGUCUUCGAGUCGUUGAUUUCACACUGCCGAGAAAAGCCUCUAGAUAGAAAAUAGGUGCCCGUACCGCAAACCGACACAGGUAGUCAAGAUGAGAAUUCUAAGGUGAGCGAGCGAACUCUCGUUAAGGAACUCGGCAAAAUGACCCCGUAACUUCGGGAGAAGGGGUGCUCUUUAGGGUUAACGCCCAGAAGAGCCGCAGUGAAUAGGCCCAAGCGACUGUUUAUCAAAACACAGGUCUCUGCUAAACCGUAAGGUGAUGUAUAGGGGCUGACGCCUGCCCGGUGCUGGAAGGUUAAGAGGAGUGGUUAGCUUCUGCGAAGCUACGAAUCGAAGCCCCAGUAAACGGCGGCCGUAACUAUAACGGUCCUAAGGUAGCGAAAUUCCUUGUCGGGUAAGUUCCGACCCGCACGAAAGGCGUAACGAUUUGGGCACUGUCUCAACGAGAGACUCGGUGAAAUCAUAGUACCUGUGAAGAUGCAGGUUACCCGCGACAGGACGGAAAGACCCCGUGGAGCUUUACUGUAGCCUGAUAUUGAAAUUCGGCACAGCUUGUACAGGAUAGGUAGGAGCCUUUGAAACGUGAGCGCUAGCUUACGUGGAGGCGCUGGUGGGAUACUACCCUAGCUGUGUUGGCUUUCUAACCCGCACCACUCAUCGUGGUGGGAGACAGUGUCAGGCGGGCAGUUUGACUGGGGCGGUCGCCUCCUAAAAGGUAACGGAGGCGCUCAAAGGUUCCCUCAGAAUGGUUGGAAAUCAUUCAUAGAGUGUAAAGGCAUAAGGGAGCUUGACUGCGAGACCUACAAGUCGAGCAGGGGUCGAAAGACGGACUUAGUGAUCCGGUGGUUCCGCAUGGAAGGGCCAUCGCUCAACGGAUAAAAGCUACCCCGGGAUAACAGGCUUAUCUCCCCCAAGAGUUCACAUCGACGGGGAGGUUUGGCACCUCGAUGUCGGCUCAUCGCAUCCUGGGGCUGUAGUCGGUCCCAAGGGUUGGGCUGUUCGCCCAUUAAAGCGGUACGCGAGCUGGGUUCAGAACGUCGUGAGACAGUUCGGUCCCUAUCCGUCGUGGGCGUAGGAAAUUUGAGAGGAGCUGUCCUUAGUACGAGAGGACCGGGAUGGACAUACCUCUGGUGUACCAGUUGUCGUGCCAACGGCAUAGCUGGGUAGCUAUGUGUGGACGGGAUAAGUGCUGAAAGCAUCUAAGCAUGAAGCCCCCCUCAAGAUGAGAUUUCCCAACUUCGGUUAUAAGAUCCCUCAAAGAUGAUGAGGUUAAUAGGUUCGAGGUGGAAGCAUGGUGACAUGUGGAGCUGACGAAUACUAAUCGAUCGAAGACUUAAUCAA